UACGUAGGGUGCAAGCGUUAAUCGGAAUUACUGGGCGUAAAGCGUGCGCAGGCGGUUAUGUAAGACAGAUGUGAAAUCCCCGGGCUCAACCUGGGACCUGCAUUUGUGACUGCAUAGCUAGAGUACGGCAGAGGGGGAUGGAAUUCCGCGUGUAGCAGUGAAAUGCGUAGAUAUGCGGAGGAACACCGAUGGCGAAGGCAAUCCCCUGGGCCUGUACUGACGCUCAUGCGCGACAGCGUGGGGAGCAAACAGG
This 253-nucleotide ribosomal RNA is filed under the name uncultured bacterium. RNAcentral's name for it is "partial 16S ribosomal RNA". It matches the Rfam family "Bacterial small subunit ribosomal RNA", at positions 524 to 776 of the family's 1533-position model. The record is from RNAcentral.